UACGUAGGGGGCAAGCGUUAUCCGGAAUCACUGGGUGUAAAGGGAGCGUAGACGGCAGGGCAAGCCUGGAGUGAAAGGCGGGGGCCCAACCCCCGGACUGCUCUGGGAACUGCCUAGCUUGAGUGCAGGAGAGGUAAGUGGAAUUCCUAGUGUAGCGGUGAAAUGCGUAGAUAUUAGGAGGAACACCAGUGGCGAAGGCGGCUUACUGGACUGUAACUGACGUUGAGGCUCGAAAGCGUGGGGAGCAAACAGG
This 253-nucleotide ribosomal RNA is filed under the name uncultured bacterium. RNAcentral describes it as "partial 16S ribosomal RNA". It matches the Rfam family "Bacterial small subunit ribosomal RNA", at positions 524 to 776 of the family's 1533-position model. The record is from RNAcentral.